Molecule: long non-coding RNA, 1591 nt
Organism: Homo sapiens (human)
Lineage: Eukaryota; Metazoa; Chordata; Mammalia; Primates; Hominidae
Product: long intergenic non-protein coding RNA 598
Source: Ensembl
UGGGCAAGUCUGGUUGCUGUGGCAGUAUUGAGUCAGCCACAGUGAGUCAAGAGAAAGUCACCUUUGGCGCUACCACCAUUGCCAGCAAGAGGUCCUUCUUUCUCAGAGAAAAGAUGGCUAUCCCGCCCAAUGUUUGGCCCCCUCCUGCAAAGGCCAAAACAUUCGUUGGGUUUUUCCUUUACUGUCUAAAUAAAGAAGAAUUUGUGCACAGUCUGAGUGGGUCAGGAUUUCAUCCCAUGGCCAUGUGGGAGCUCCAAGAUUUGAUCUCCGGGCUGACCUGUGCAAGCAUCCUGCCUCAUUCCAUUUGGCUGAAGCUCCUGCUCCACUUCUUGCUGGGCUGUGACCAUUCAGGAUCCCCCACUGUCCACCAGAGUCAGCACCUAAAAGGAGAGAAAAUCUUUUUCUGUCUGGUGUUUUUCAAAAUUUUGAUGAUGGACUCACAUCAAGGAUGAAGAGCUUUGAUGUCAUUUGAACACCACCACCAUCACCACCACCAGCAUCAACAAACAAACAAGCAAACAAGCGUGAACUCAGGAGCCCUGUGGCCCAGCCUCCAGUCCAUUUCCUCACUGUGAUCUGGCUAAGUCACCUCCCCUCCACCUCAGUUCAGUCACCUACACAACAGGAAUGGUGGCUCCUGGCGUGAAAAGUUCUUAGGAGCAUUCAGCAUGAUGCUGUGUGGAGCACUUGGAAACUGCGUGUGCAUCACCUCAUAUUUCUGGCCACAGGUCAUUCAGACAUCUGCCCUUUGCCCUGGAGGAGAACCACUAGGGACUUGUGCCCAUAAGCACCAAUUCUGGCUUUUACCCUACCCAUCCUUUGCCAUCCCAAACUAUGCCAUCAACAAAUUCUAGAAAUCAAGUUAGAAAUGCUGUUCCCACGAGGGUCUCUGUGGUCUCUCAGAACAACAAUCAGCUGGCCCUGCUGGGCAGAUGUUGCCCAAUCCUAACCCACACUUAGCUAUCAACUUAAUCAUUCUCAACUAAAAACACCUACCUGAACACUUUUAGGGGUUAAGAAUAGUAUAAUCUCACUUAGCCAUUUGCAUUUUUUCUUCUUUUUACAAAAAGAAAUUUAUCUUUUUUUUUUUUUGAGACGGAGUCUUGCUCUGUUGCCCAGGUUGGAGUGCAGUGGCGCAAUCUUGGCUCACUGCAAGCUCCGCCUCCUGGGUUAGCGCCAUUCUCCUGCCUCAGCCUCCCGAGUAGCUGGGACUACAGGUGCCUGCCACCACGCCUGGCUAAUUUUUUUGUAUUUUUAGUAGAGACGGGGUUUCACCGUGUUAGUCAGGAUCGUCUUGAUCUCCUGACAUCGUGAUUCGCCCUCCUCAGCCUCCCAAAGUGCUGGGAUUACAGGCGUGAGCCACUGCGCUCUGCCAAGAAUAGUAUAAUCUCACUUAGCCAUUUGUAUUUUUUCUUCUUUUUACAAAAAGAAAUUUAUCUCAUUAUUAUGUUUAAUCAGUUUCUUGAGGUAUAACUUAAGUGUGCUAAAAUUUGCUCUUUUUAGUGUACAGGUCUAGGAUUUUUGAGAAACACAUAUUCAUAUGUGACCACCCCCAUGAUCAACAUAUGGAACAGUCAUUUGCCACCCAAAA